RNAcentral lists this ribosomal RNA (123 nucleotides) under Lepisosteus oculatus (spotted gar). The record is from RNAcentral. Lineage: Eukaryota; Metazoa; Chordata; Actinopteri; Semionotiformes; Lepisosteidae.
GCCAGCAGCUAUAUCACCCUGCAACAUACAGUACAACUGGCAACCCACUGAAAGUCAGCAGGUAUGAGUCUGGCCUGUACCUGGAUGGGAGACCUCAUGGGAAAGCUAAGGUUGCUUCUGAAA